GAUGAAGAACGUAGCGAAAUGCGAUAAGUAGUGUGAAUUGCAGAAGUACCGUGAAUCAUCGAAUCUUUGAACGCAAAUUGCACUCUCUGGUAUUCCGGGGAGUAUGUCUGUUUGAGGGUCGCUUAACAAACCAUCGAUUUCGUUGCUUUUUUUUAAAAAGUGAUGUUUAUCGGAUUUGAGCCGUCUUUUUUUUUUAUAUUUAAGUGGCUUAAAAUUGAUUUUUUUGGUACGAUCGAAGCGUAUUUUUAUGAUCAAUUUUUGGUUAAAGAAACGCACACGUACCGUUAUUUAUAUGAUGUAAUACGUUUGACUAUUGGAUUUAGUUCAUUCGUAUACGAUAUUUUUCAAUAUUUGACCUCAAAUCAGGUAAGAACACCCGCUGAACUUAAGCAUAUCAAUAAGCGGAGGA
This 409-nucleotide unclassified non-coding RNA is filed under the name soil metagenome. Its description in RNAcentral is "partial contains 5.8S ribosomal RNA, internal transcribed spacer 2, and large subunit ribosomal RNA". The stretch from base 1 to 121 matches the Rfam family "5.8S ribosomal RNA", at positions 35 to 154 of the family's 154-position model. The record is from RNAcentral.